RNAcentral lists this unclassified non-coding RNA (209 nucleotides) under Hevea brasiliensis (rubber tree). Lineage: Eukaryota; Viridiplantae; Streptophyta; Magnoliopsida; Malpighiales; Euphorbiaceae. The record is from RNAcentral.
GCAGAAGUCAAUUGGAAUGUCUCAAGCGUUGCAUGGAUUUAGUCAAGAAGGGGGCAUCUGUCUUUUUCUUCCCCGAGGGUACUCGGAGUAAAGAUGGAAAGUUAGGCCCUUUCAAGAAAGGUGCCUUUAGUGUUGCUGCCAAAACCGGAGUGCCUGUGGUUCCAAUUUCUAUUAGUGGAACAGGCAGGAUAAUGCCAGCAGGGAUGGAG